UACGGAGGGUGCAAGCAUUAAUCGGAAUUAUUGGGCGUAAAGGGCGCGUAGGCGGCAUGGUCAGUCAGGUGUGAAAUCCCGGAGCUUAACUCCGGAACAGCACUUGAAACUGCCAUUCUAGAGGAUAGGCGGAGAAAACGGAAUUCCACAAGUAGCGGUGAAAUGCGUAGAUAUGUGGAGGAACACCUGUGGCGAAAGCGGUUUUCUAGCUUAUUCCUGACGCUGAGGCGCGAAAGCAAGGGGAGCAAACAGG
Molecule: ribosomal RNA, 253 nt
Filed under: uncultured bacterium
Lineage: Bacteria
Description: partial 16S ribosomal RNA
Rfam family: Bacterial small subunit ribosomal RNA
Source: RNAcentral